CAGGUAGAGGCCUUGUCCACCUAAUUUUAAUACGUUCAAAUGAAAGAGAGAAACACAGUGGAAGAUUAAGAGUCACGCUUGACACUUCCAAGAAAAGCAGUUCCUUGUUGAUCACGGCUUCCCGGGCAGCAGACACUGCUUCUUACUUCUGUGCUACGGACGCACAGUGGCUCUAGGUUGACCUUUGGGGAAGGAACACAGCUCACAGUGAAUCCUGGUAAGUGGAGGGGAGCAUUG
RNAcentral lists this long non-coding RNA (237 nucleotides) under Homo sapiens (human). RNAcentral describes it as "non-protein coding lnc-ABHD4-12:27". Lineage: Eukaryota; Metazoa; Chordata; Mammalia; Primates; Hominidae. The record is from RNAcentral.